Molecule: ribosomal RNA, 456 nt
Filed under: uncultured Desulfovibrio sp.
Lineage: Bacteria; Pseudomonadati; Thermodesulfobacteriota; Desulfovibrionia; Desulfovibrionales; Desulfovibrionaceae
Description: bacterial SSU rRNA
Rfam family: Bacterial small subunit ribosomal RNA
Source: RNAcentral
ACAAGCAGCGGAGCGUUGUGGUUUAAUUCGAUGCUACACGAAGAACCUUACCAGGGUUUGACAUGCAAGUGGUAGGAACCGAAAGGUGACCGACCCUUCGGGGAGCUUGCACAGGUGCUGCAUGGCUGUCGUCAGCUCGUGUCGUGAGAUGUUGGGUUAAGUCCCGCAACGAGCGCAACCCUCGCCUUUAGUUGCCAGCAUUCAGUUGGGCACUCUAGAGGGACUGCCGGUGUCAAACCGGAGGAAGGUGGGAUGACGUCAAGUCCUCAUGGCCUUUAUGUCUAGGGCUACACACGUACUACAAUGGCCGGUACAAAGGGCAGCCACUCAGCGAUGAGGCGCUAAUCCCAUAAAGCCGGUCUCAGUCCGGAUCGCAGUCUGCAACUCGACUGCGUGAAGUUGGAAUCGCUAGUAAUCGUAGAUCAGCAUGCUACGGUGAAUACGUUCCCGGGCCUU